UGGCGAGUGGCGGACGGGUGAGGAAUGCAUCGGAAUCUACUCUUUCGUGGGGGAUAACGUAGGGAAACUUACGCUAAUACCGCAUACGACCUACGGGUGAAAGCCGGGGACCUUCGGGCCUGGCGCGAAUGAAUGAGCCGAUGCCCGAUUAGCUAGUUGGCGGGGUAAGAGCCCACCAAGGCGACGAUCGGUAGCUGGUCUGAGAGGAUGAUCAGCCACACUGGAACUGAGACACGGUCCAGACUCCUACGGGAGGCAGCAGUGGGGAAUAUUGGACAAUGGGCGCAAGCCUGAUCCAGCCAUACCGCGUGGGUGAAGAAGGCCUUCGGGUUGUAAAGCCCUUUUGUUGGGAAAGAAAAGCAGCCGAUUAAUACCCGGUUGUUCUGACGGUACCCAAAGAAUAAGCACCGGCUAACUUCGUGCCAGCAGCCGCGGUAAUACGAAGGGUGCAAGCGUUACUCGGAAUUACUGGGCGUAAAGCGUGCGUAGGUGGUUGUUUAAGUCUGUCGUGAAAGCCCUGGGCUCAACCUGGGAAUUGCGAUGGAAACUGGGCGACUAGAGUGUGGCAGAGGAUAGUGGAAUUCCUGGUGUAGCAGUGAAAUGCGUAGA
Molecule: ribosomal RNA, 609 nt
Filed under: Stenotrophomonas sp. EECC-553
Lineage: Bacteria; Pseudomonadati; Pseudomonadota; Gammaproteobacteria; Lysobacterales; Lysobacteraceae
Description: bacterial SSU rRNA
Rfam family: Bacterial small subunit ribosomal RNA
Source: RNAcentral